GUGGUGGCGCGCUACCAUGCAAGUCGAGCGGUAGAGAAGGAGCUUGCUUCUUCUUGAGAGCGGCGGACGGGUGAGUAAUGCCUAGGAAUCUGCCUGGUAGUGGGGGACAACGUUUCGAAAGGAACGCUAAUACCGCAUACGUCCUACGGGAGAAAGUGGGGGAUCUUCGGACCUCACGCUAUCAGAUGAGCCUAGGUCGGAUUAGCUUGUAGGUGAGGUAAAGGCUCACCUAGGCAACGAUCCGUAACUGGUCUGAGAGGAUGAUCAGUCACACUGGAACUGAGACACGGUCCAGACUCCUACGGGAGGCAGCAGUGGGGAAUAUUGGACAAUGGGCGAAAGCCUGAUCCAGCCAUGCCGCGUGUGUGAAGAAGGUCUUCGGAUUGUAAAGCACUUUAAGUUGGGAGGAAGGGUUGUAGCUUAAUACGCUGCAACUUUGACGUUACCAACAGAAUAAGCACCGGCUAACUCUGUGCCAGCAGCCGCGGUAAUACAGAGGGUGCAAGCGUUAAUCGGAAUUACUGGGCGUAAAGCGCGCGUAGGCGGCUUGAUAAGAUGGGUGUGAAAUCCCCGGGCUUAACCUGGGAACUGCAUCCAUAACUGUCUGGCUAGAGUGCAGUAGAGGGUGGUGGAAUUUCCUGUGUAGCGGUGAAAUGCGUAGAUAUAGGAAGGAACACCAGUGGCGAAGGCGACCACCUGGACUGACACUGACGCUGAGGUGCGAAAGCGUGGGGAGCAAACAGGAUUAGAUACCCUGGUAGUCCACGCCGUAAACGAUGUCAACUAGCCGUUGGAAUCCUUGGAGAUUUUAGUGGCGCAGCUAACGCACUAAGUUGACCGCCUGGGGGAGUACGGUCGCAAGAUUAAAACUCAAAUGAAUUGACGGGGGCCCGCACAAGCGGUGGGAGCAUGUGGGUU
Molecule: ribosomal RNA, 918 nt
Filed under: Pseudomonas sp.
Lineage: Bacteria; Pseudomonadati; Pseudomonadota; Gammaproteobacteria; Pseudomonadales; Pseudomonadaceae
Description: bacterial SSU rRNA
Rfam family: Bacterial small subunit ribosomal RNA
Source: RNAcentral